UGCUGAAGCAACAAAUGCCCUGCUUCCAGGAAAAGCCUCUAAGCAUCAGGUAACAUCAAAUCGUACCCCAAACCGACACAGGUGGUCAGGUAGAGAAUACCAAGGCGCUUGAGAGAACUCGGGUGAAGGAACUAGGCAAAAUGGUGCCGUAACUUCGGGAGAAGGCACGCUGACACGUAGGUGAAGUGAUUUACUCAUGGAGCUGAAGUCAGUCGAAGAUACCAGCUGGCUGCAACUGUUUAUUAAAAACACAGCACUGUGCAAACACGAAAGUGGACGUAUACGGUGUGACGCCUGCCCGGUGCCGGAAGGUUAAUUGAUGGGGUCAGCGCAAGCGAAGCUCCUGAUCGAAGCCCCGGUAAACGGCGGCCGUAACUAUAACGGUCCUAAGGUAGCGAAAUUCCUUGUCGGGUAAGUUCCGACCUGCACGAAUGGCGUAAUGAUGGCCAGGCUGUCUCCACCCGAGACUCAGUGAAAUUGAACUCGCUGUGAAGAUGCAGUGUACCCGCGGCAAGACGGAAAGACCCCGUGAACCUUUACUAUAGCUUGACACUGAACAUUGAGCCUUGAUGUGUAGGAUAGGUGGGAGGCUUUGAAGUGUGGACGCCAGUCUGCAUGGAGCCGGCCUUGAAAUACCACCCUUUAAUGUUUGAUGUUCUAACGUGGACCCGUGAUCCGGGUUGCGGACAGUGUCUGGUGGGUAGUUUGACUGGGGCGGUCUCCUCCUAAAGAGUAACGGAGGAGCACGAAGGUUGGCUAAUCCUGGUCGGACAUCAGGAGGUUAGUGCAAUGGCAUAAGCCAGCUUGACUGCGAGCGUGACGGCGCGAGCAGGUGCGAAAGCAGGUCAUAGUGAUCCGGUGGUUCUGAAUGGAAGGGCCAUCGCUCAACGGAUAAAAGGUACUCCGGGGAUAACAGGCUGAUACCGCCCAAGAGUUCAUAUCGACGGCGGUGUUUGGCACCUCGAUGUCGGCUCAUCACAUCCUGGGGCUGAAGUAGGUCCCAAGGGUAUGGCUGUUCGCCAUUUAAAGUGGUACGCGAGCUGGGUUUAGAACGUCGUGAGACAGUUCGGUCCCUAUCUGCCGUGGGCGCUGGAGAACUGAGGGGGGCUGCUCCUAGUACGAGAGGACCGGAGUGGACGCAUCACUGGUGUUCGGGUUGUCAUGCCAAUGGCACUGCCCGGUAGCUAAAUGCGGAAGAGAUAAGUGCUGAAAGCAUCUAAGCACGAAACUUGCCCCGAGAUGAGUUCUCCCUGAGACUUUAGGUCUCCUGAAGGAACGUUGAAGACGACGACGUUGAUAGGCCGGGUGUGUAAGCGCAGCGAUGCGUUGAGCUAACCGGUACUAAUGAACCGUGAGGCUUAACCUU
This 1366-nucleotide ribosomal RNA is filed under the name Salmonella enterica. RNAcentral's name for it is "partial 23S ribosomal RNA". It matches the Rfam family "Bacterial large subunit ribosomal RNA", at positions 1583 to 2925 of the family's 2925-position model. The record is from RNAcentral. Lineage: Bacteria; Pseudomonadati; Pseudomonadota; Gammaproteobacteria; Enterobacterales; Enterobacteriaceae.